Molecule: regulatory RNA element, 32 nt
Rfam family: Pseudoknot of upstream pseudoknot domain (UPD) of the 3'UTR
Source: Rfam
GGUGCUUGUUAGUUCACCUAAAUCGAACUAAC